GGUGGAGUGGCCGAGAGGCAAGGCAGCGGCUUGCAGAGCCGCAUACAUGGGUUCGACUCCUAUCUCCACCUCCA
Molecule: transfer RNA, 74 nt
Filed under: Kitasatospora sp. MAP5-34
Lineage: Bacteria; Bacillati; Actinomycetota; Actinomycetes; Kitasatosporales; Streptomycetaceae
Description: tRNA-Cys
Rfam family: tRNA
About the family: Transfer RNA (tRNA) molecules are approximately 80 nucleotides in length. Their secondary structure includes four short double-helical elements and three loops (D, anti-codon, and T loops). Further hydrogen bonds mediate the characteristic L-shaped molecular structure. tRNAs have two regions of fundamental functional importance: the anti-codon, which is responsible for specific mRNA codon recognition, and the 3' end, to which the tRNAs corresponding amino acid is attached (by aminoacyl-tRNA synthetases). tRNAs cope with the degeneracy of the genetic code in two manners: having more than one tRNA (with a specific anti-codon) for a particular amino acid; and 'wobble' base-pairing, i.e. permitting non-standard base-pairing at the 3rd anti-codon position.
Source: RNAcentral